GGGAGAGCAUCUUCUUCCGUCGACGGUUCCACCAGAUGUAGAGUAUUACGAGAACCAAAGCGGCACUUCACAGGGCACUCUUCUCAUUCGAUCUGCCCUUCAAUCUUCUCCCAUUGAUUUUAUGAUAGCAAGUUGGCUGCACUUAGAGCAACCACAGGGCGGUGCGUUCAACAUAACCAAUAUUGCAGGUUACUUGAAACCCUCAAACGACAUUCCUCAUUUUCAAUUCGAGUUGGUUCAAUG
RNAcentral lists this unclassified non-coding RNA (243 nucleotides) under Hevea brasiliensis (rubber tree). The record is from RNAcentral. Lineage: Eukaryota; Viridiplantae; Streptophyta; Magnoliopsida; Malpighiales; Euphorbiaceae.